AAGCUAAAAGUAGAUGGAGCAACAUGGGUGGUCAAUGAGUAUUUUGACGAGCACAACCACAAACUCAUAAAGAAGUUCGACCUGGUGAAAUUUCUGACUGCCCACAGAGGGUUCACCCCCGUCGAGAGGAAAUUCGUAAAGCUGCUACAUGAUUGUAACGUCGGUCCAUCAAGAAUGGUACAGAUACUAUCUCUCAUCCACAGCAAAAAGGGGACUCUGAGUAGCAUGCCGUACAUACCAGCUGACGUCACAAACCUACAGGCCAAGUACCGUAGAGAGAGCAAGUUGGCAGACAUAGAGGCCACAAUAGCCUACUUCCAUGCGAAAGCAAAGGAAGAUCCAGAUUUCUUCUAUAGGAUAAGGUUGGACGAUGAGGACCGUGUCAGGAACAUGUAUUGGGUGGAUGGUGCUGCAAGGAGAGCCUACAAACAUUUCCGAGAUUGCAUUUCAUUCGACGCGACGUACCUCACCAAUAUGUACAAGAUGCCAUGCGCUCCGUUCAUAGUAAUAAAUAACCACAACACAGAUGGGUACGUUUGGCUGUUCAAGACCUUCUUGGAGUGCAUGGAUGGACUUGCUCCGAUGAACAUAAUAACGGACCAAGAUUUCAGCAUGCGUGCAGGCAUAGAGGAGGUCUUUCCAUUGGCAGUGCACAGGCACUGCAGGUGGCACAUUAUAAAGAAGGCUGAGGAGACGCUAGGACCGUUCUUUGCCACUACGCAGUGCAGCGAGGGGUUCAAUGCUGUUUUAAAGCGACGGGACGGCAUUGUGUGAUGUCACAUACUAAAAGUCAUGGACAUGAACGCUGUGACACGCAUGCCCCGCCAUUUCAUAAGGAGGCGAUGGACUUGGGACGCUGAUGACGCGUUGGUGCCACAAACAACACACGCAAUUCUGGCUGUGCAUGACGAGAGACCUGAGUCAACCAUGGAAGUCGUGAGGCACGUUGUGCUGACAAAGAACUAUGCUGAGCUAAUUGAUGAAGCGUGCAAGAGUGAUGACACAGCGAGAGUCACAGAAAAACACAGGAAGGCACUGAAAAGAGAGCUUGAUGAGAUCAAAAAAAGGAAAGCCGAGGAAGCCUUACACCGGUUCCCCCGCACAUCAAGUGUGCCUUCAUCCACGGGGCCAUCGUCUGAAAACUCGGAGAUAGGAUCUGGAACAGCAAGCACACAAACCCAGGUCAGGAACCCACCCCGUUCCAUCACAAAGGGUCGUCCGAGAGAGAUAAGGUACAAGUCGGGACUGGAGAUUCAAGCAAAACACAAGAAAACGAAGAAAGGGGCGGGCAAUCAAUGA
RNAcentral lists this ribosomal RNA (1299 nucleotides) under Triticum aestivum (bread wheat). RNAcentral's name for it is "partial small subunit ribosomal RNA". The record is from RNAcentral. Lineage: Eukaryota; Viridiplantae; Streptophyta; Magnoliopsida; Poales; Poaceae.